CAUCGCCGUACCAAGGCGAUGCGGCGAGCUUGACUUGCUCGGCGGCGUGGAUCUCGGAGCGAAGCAGGUCCGUGCCGGUCCGAUCGGCGAAGG
Molecule: transfer RNA, 93 nt
Filed under: bioreactor metagenome
Description: tRNA-Val
Source: RNAcentral